This 72-nucleotide transfer RNA is filed under the name Chaenogobius annularis (forktongue goby). RNAcentral describes it as "tRNA-Asp". It matches the Rfam family "tRNA". Rfam says of the family: Transfer RNA (tRNA) molecules are approximately 80 nucleotides in length. Their secondary structure includes four short double-helical elements and three loops (D, anti-codon, and T loops). Lineage: Eukaryota; Metazoa; Chordata; Actinopteri; Gobiiformes; Gobiidae. The record is from RNAcentral.
AAGAUACUAGUAAAAAAGACAUUACACUGCUUUGUCAAGGCAAAAUAGUAGGUUAAAAUCCUGCGUAUCUUA